AGGUUGCUAAUUUAUGUAUUUAAUAAUGAGGCAGGAAAAUAACUUUUUUAACAUUAACUUUUGCUUCUCAUGAUGAUUGUUGCUCCAGGCCAACUUUGUCGCAGCUUCGUGCAUAACGCUGGGAGGCUUCUGUCAGCAGGACCACAAUAGUCCUUGCUGAUGUGCCAGGCUGACCUUGGAACACGAGGUCUGUCCGUGAUCCUCCACCUCAUAUGGAUUUGCUCAGUUCCUCUUGCAGAGUGGGACAGGAACAUCUGAGCUCACGGCAAUUGAUCCUCUCCCAGUGCCACCACCCUGGCUGCUGCUGCCUCCAUCCCGGUCUGAUCUCAAAGCUGUGGCUUUGGUUUUUGCUUGCCAAGCAAGGCACGGGCAGCUGUGCUGUGCGGGUCUGGUGGCUUGGUGCCCUGCUCACCCAGUGUGGAUCUGGCACCAGGACCCGCUCCCAUCCUGCCUCCCUUACGCCAUGCUCAGCCAGUGCUCGGCUGCCGGCGGGAGCCGUGUGCUGCGACCCCUCGAGCGAAGGCACGGUCACCAGCUGUUCAUCCCGCCCGCAGCCGCCCCCCACUGCGGCACCGCCGCCGGGACGCCCUCCCCAGGCGGGCACCGGCCCCUCGUGCUGCUCGGCUCGGCUCCUGCCCGGCGCGGCUCCGGCCGAGCUCCGGCUCGGCUCGGCUCGGCUCGGCUGAACUCGGCUCGGCUCGGCUCCUGAGGCAAGGACAGUCGGCGGGCGCGGCGAGGCCGGUGGCCGUGGCGGGGCCUGUCCCCUUCAGCGGGGCCGGGCGCUGCUCGGGGGCCUCGUAGGCCGGCAGCGGGGCUGAGGCGGCGGCGGCGGCAUCUCCCCUCUCGGCAGCCGAGGCGCUGGGCCGGCGUCCGCGGCGGGUCCCGGCCUCCUCCCAGCACCCGGGCGGCCCCUCUCCUCCCCCGCAGCCUGGCGUCGGUCACGGGCCGCGGCACGGUCCUGCCUGGGGCAGCCCCGGGAGCGAGAGGCCGGUGAAGCUCCAGGGCCGCCGGUCAGAGCAGCGCGGCUGGAGGCAGCGCAGCGUCAGCUCGAGCCCGCCCGCUGCUCGUGCUGCAGGCACCGGGCUCCAUCGAACCGCGCGGACCGGCGAUGUUCUGGCUGGCGGGAGGUGCCGCAGGAGGGGUUCUCUCUGCACGUUUCCUCUAGAGCGAAAGCUGCUGCCAUCUUCUGCCGUGUGAC
Molecule: long non-coding RNA, 1198 nt
Filed under: Strigops habroptila (Kakapo)
Lineage: Eukaryota; Metazoa; Chordata; Aves; Psittaciformes; Psittacidae
Description: lncRNA (ENSSHBG00005006429.1)
Source: RNAcentral